GGUGGCCGCAGAGAAUAGGCCCAAGCGACUGUUUACCAAAAACAUAGGUUUCUGCUAAGUCGCAAGACGAUGUAUAGGAGCUGACGCCUGCCCGGUGCUGGAAGGUUAAGGGGAUCUGUUAGAGCAAUCGAAGCAGUGAACUUAAGCCCCAGUAAACGGCGGCCGUAACUAUAACGGUCCUAAGGUAGCGAAAUUCCUUGUCGGGUAAGUUCCGACCCGCACGAAAGGCGUAACGAUUUGGGCACUGUCUCAACAACAGACUCGGUGAAAUUGUAAUUCCGGUGAAGAUGCCGGAUACCUGCGACAGGACGGAAAGACCCCAUGGAGCUUUACUGUAGCUUGACAUUGGGUCUUGGUACUACAUGUACAGGAUAGGUGGGAGGCUUUGAAACCAGGACGCCAGUUUUGGCGGAGCCAUCCUUGGGAUACCACCCUUGUAGUACUGGGACUCUAACCAUAGGCCAUGAAUCUGGUCUUGGGACACUGUCAGGUGGGCAGUUUGACUGGGGCGGUCGCCUCCCAAAAGG
Molecule: ribosomal RNA, 527 nt
Filed under: Clostridioides difficile
Lineage: Bacteria; Bacillati; Bacillota; Clostridia; Peptostreptococcales; Peptostreptococcaceae
Description: partial 23S ribosomal RNA
Rfam family: Bacterial large subunit ribosomal RNA
Source: RNAcentral